CUGGCCGUAAACGAUGAACACUAGAUGUUGGGGGAAUCGACCCCCUCGGUGUCGUAGCUAACGCGUUAAGUGUUCCGCCUGGGGAGUACGCACGCAAGUGUGAAACUCAAAGGAAUUGACGGGGGCCCGCACAAGCGGUGGAGUAUGUGGUUUAAUUCGAUGCAACGCGAAGAACCUUACCAAGGCUUGACAUCCUGCGAAUCUCCAAGAAAUUGGAGAGUGCCUUUUGGAACGCAGUGACAGGUGGUGCAUGGCUGUCGUCAGCUCGUGUCGUGAGAUGUUGGGUUAAGUCCCGCAACGAGCGCAACCCACGUUUUUAGUUGCCAGCAUUAAGUUGGGCACUCUGGAAUGACUGCCGGUGACAAACCGGAGGAAGGUGUGGACGACGUCAAGUCAUCAUGCCCCUUACGCCUUGGGCUACACACGUACUACAAUGCUGCGGACAAAGAGUAGCGAUCUUGCGAAAGUUAGCUAAUCUCGUAAACCGUGGCUCAGUUCAGAUCGUAGGCUGCAACUCGCCUACGUGAAGGAGGAAUCGCUAGUAAUCGCAGGUCAGCAUACUGCGGUGAAUACGUUCCCGGGCCUUGUACACACCGCCCGUCACACCAUGGAAGUUGGCCAUGCCCGAAGUCGUUACUCUAACCUUUUGGAAGAGGGCGCCGAAGGCAGGGCUAAUGACUGGGGUGAAGUCGUAACAAGGUAGCCGUAGCGGAAGCUGCGGCUGGAUCACCUCCUAA
RNAcentral lists this ribosomal RNA (737 nucleotides) under Candidatus Synechococcus spongiarum. RNAcentral describes it as "bacterial SSU rRNA". It matches the Rfam family "Bacterial small subunit ribosomal RNA", at positions 796 to 1533 of the family's 1533-position model. Lineage: Bacteria; Bacillati; Cyanobacteriota; Cyanophyceae; Synechococcales; Synechococcaceae. The record is from RNAcentral.